UACAGAGGUCUCAAGCGUUGUUCGGAUUCAUUGGGCGUAAAGGGUGCGUAGGCGGCGCGGUAAGUCGGGUGUGAAAUCUCGGGGCUUAACUCCGAAACUGCAUUCGAUACUGCCGUGCUUGAGGACUGGAGAGGAGACUGGAAUUUACGGUGUAGCGGUGAAAUGCGCAGAUAUCAGGAGGAACACCAAUGGCGAAGGCAGCUCGCUGGGACGGUACUGACGCUGAGACGCGAAAGCGUGGGGAGCAAACAGG
This 253-nucleotide ribosomal RNA is filed under the name uncultured bacterium. Its description in RNAcentral is "partial 16S ribosomal RNA". It matches the Rfam family "Bacterial small subunit ribosomal RNA", at positions 524 to 776 of the family's 1533-position model. The record is from RNAcentral.